RNAcentral lists this long non-coding RNA (1472 nucleotides) under Callithrix jacchus (white-tufted-ear marmoset). Its description in RNAcentral is "lncRNA (ENSCJAG00000081522.1)". Lineage: Eukaryota; Metazoa; Chordata; Mammalia; Primates; Cebidae. The record is from RNAcentral.
AUUUUUAGUAGAGACAGGGGUUUUCCAUGUUGGCGAAGCUGGUCUCAAACUCCUGACCUCAGGUGAUCCACCUGCCUUGGCCUCCUGAAGUGCUGGGAUUACAGGCAUGAGCCACUGUGUCUGGCCGAGAAUCUGUAUUUUCACAAGUUCCUCAGGAGAUUCUUAUACACGUUAAAGUUUGAGAAGCAUUGCUCUAAGAAAAGCCUUGCAUCUACUGGAAUUUAGUAAAGAAAGAAUAACAUGGACUCACCUGCUUUCGGGUUCAGGAGAACUCGCUGUGGUAUUGUUCUUCUUUGCUCCUUUUCCAAAGGAGAGCCCAGGCGUGCUAAUUACUGGGUGGCAGCUACACUAACUGCAAGUGGACGACAGCUGGGUGCCGGGCACGCUCUGCAAGAGGAGGAAUGGCUUUGGCAGAAAAAGACCCAAAGGAACGUUAGAAAGUGGAAAGUUGCUAGGUGUGGUGGCUCACACCUUUAAUCUCAGCACUUUGGGAGGCCAAGGUAGGUGGAUCACCUGAGGUCGGGAGUUCAAGAUCAGCCUGACCAACAUGCAGAAACCCCGUCUCUACUAAAAAUACAAAAUUAGCUGGGCAUGGUGGAGCAUGCCUGUAAUCCCAGCUACUGGGGAGGCUGAGGCAGGAGAAUCUCUCGAACCCGGGAGGCAGAGGUUGCAGUGAGCCACGAUCAUGCCAUUGCACUCCAGCCUGGGCAACAAGAGCAAAACUCCAUCUCAAGGAAAAAAAAAAAAAAGUGGAGAUUAAGGAUGAAGAUAGGGAGACACAUUCAAAAAUACCACCACCAUGUCAUACCUUUGAGGCUGAGUUCUUCAUUCAUUCCACAAGUAUUUCUUGAGCACAUUCUAUGUAUUGGGCACCAUGUUAUUGAGCAAGACAGUUUAGAAUAGAGUUUGUGAACGUGAGCUUGGAGCUACCUGGGCUUGCAAUCCUAGCUCAGCCACCUACUAGCUACGUGUCCUUCAGCCAUUUACCUAAUCUAUCUGUGUCUCCUUUCUCUCACUUGUUGAAUGAAAUAAUAUCAUUAAGUCCUUCAUAUGGUUGCAGCAAAAUGGAAAUAAUAUUAUUUCUUAUCCCAUAGGGUCAUUAUGAGGAUUAAAUUGGUUAAUGCCUGGGAAGCACUUAGAAAAACUCUUGGCACAUAUUAACUACCAAGUACAUAUUAGCUCUUAUUUGGCGGUGAUGUUGCUUUGCUGUUUAACAUGAAUGAAUGUGCCAUGCGACAUUUUGUGUAAAUGAUGAUGAAAGGGAAGAAGCUUUACCCCCAAGCCUACUAGUGAAAGACUGGGUAGACCUGACUUUUACUCAUGCUCCCUCCUGCGGAUAGUAAAUUACUUAGGAAGUUGUUUUCGUCACUUUCUACUUUCGUUCCCAAACAUCAAGAACACUGUUUCUUUAAAUAGUUCUUUAAAAAAUUAUUAGAACAACAAUGAUAUGAGCUAGCUAUAGGAACAUGUAG